UACAGCCACAUCAUGUUGAAACAUUGGUUCCCAUAUGUUCACCAAAGUUAAGAAACACUGAACCUGAUUAGUACCUAAAUGGGUGACCACUUGGGAAUAUCAGGUGAUGUAAG
This is a non-coding RNA of Acanthosepion pharaonis, 113 nucleotides long. Lineage: Eukaryota; Metazoa; Mollusca; Cephalopoda; Sepiida; Sepiidae. The record is from the annotation of a GenBank genome assembly.